GGAUCACAGCCACUUUCUAUCAUCUCAGAGAGUAAUUUAAUAGCUUCAUCAAUUUUCCCUGCAUUACUAUAGCAUUUCAUCAUCAUGUUGUAGGUGAUAGAAUUCGGAACAUACCCACUCUCUCUAAUUCCGUCAAAUAUACUUUUCGCCUCCCCAAGCCUUCCCAUUUCUGCUAUACUAUACAAAGAUGCAUUGCAAGCAACAAUGUUAGGCACAAUUCCAUGAACUUUCAUCUUCUCAAAUGUUUCAAAUGCUUUAUCAGGCUCGCCUGACUUCCCAUAAUGAUCGAUAAAUAGAACAUACCCACUCUCUCUAAUUCCAUCAAAUAUACUUUUUGCCUCCCCAAGCCUUCCCAUUUCUGCUAUACUAUACAAAGAUGCAUUGCAAGCUACAAUGUUAGGAAUAAUUCCAUGAACUUUCAUCUUCUCGAAUGUU
RNAcentral lists this long non-coding RNA (435 nucleotides) under Nicotiana benthamiana. RNAcentral's name for it is "long non-coding RNA (NBEN_LNC024920)". Lineage: Eukaryota; Viridiplantae; Streptophyta; Magnoliopsida; Solanales; Solanaceae. The record is from RNAcentral.